This 241-nucleotide ribosomal RNA is filed under the name Necrodes littoralis. Its description in RNAcentral is "partial small subunit ribosomal RNA". The record is from RNAcentral. Lineage: Eukaryota; Metazoa; Arthropoda; Insecta; Coleoptera; Silphidae.
UUAUACUAGGAUUAGAUCCCCUAUUAUUGAAAAUGUAAAUUUAAAAUGCUAAACUAGUAGUAGUUAUGUUCUUGAAAAUUAAAGAUUUCGGCGGUAUUUUAGUCUUUUCAGAGGCACCUGUUCUAUAAUGAUAUUCCACGAUUUAUUAUUCUUGGAUUAUUAGUUUGCCAUCGUCGUCAGUUGCAUAUCCAAAAGAAAUAGCAUAAUCAAAAUUCCCGAUGAUCAAGAACCUCAGAUCGAG